Panicum virgatum (switchgrass) is the source of this 396-nucleotide long non-coding RNA. RefSeq lists it as uncharacterized. The record is from RefSeq and is a predicted model, not a curated record. The transcript has 2 exons. NCBI's taxonomy places the organism in Eukaryota, Viridiplantae, Streptophyta, Magnoliopsida, Poales, Poaceae.
GGCGUUGACCACCUGAGCAGCUCCCUUGUUUCGGCAAGGAUCUAUGUCCAUGGAAUGCAGGGAAGAGACAGCCGAGCGAGCGGGAGCACACGUGGCCCGAGGCACGCGCGGCGCGUCGGCCAGCAGCUCACACGGUAGUGCACGCGACGCCGGCCAACUUCCGCAAGCUGCUGGCCGGGCAGCUCAAGAAGCUCGUGGUCGGGGAAGCUGACCCGCGUGAAGAACUCGUUCAAGCUGGCCGCCGCCGGACGGGAGCUGGCCGUGGGUGAUUUUUUUUUCUUAUUUUUCAGAAAUAGAUAUGCAUAUGGGAUUGUAUGGAUUGGAUCUAUCUUGUAGUAAACAAUUUUUUGAAUGAUUUGUGGAAUCUAUGAGUAUUUUGUCGAUCGAUUUAAUAUC